This 481-nucleotide long non-coding RNA is filed under the name Monodelphis domestica (gray short-tailed opossum). RNAcentral's name for it is "lncRNA (ENSMODG00000050658.1)". Lineage: Eukaryota; Metazoa; Chordata; Mammalia; Didelphimorphia; Didelphidae. The record is from RNAcentral.
CCAGUAAAAAUGGCAUAAAGAUGGAUCAAGUAAUUUCUCUAUUUUGCCAUAUGAUGCCUUCUCUAGUGUGGGGAAGCGACGAAAGAAGUAACGAAGGAAAGAAGCAACGAAGGAAAGAAAGAAAGAAAGAAUGAAUGAAAGAAAGAAAGAAAGAAAGAAAGAAAGAAAGAAAGAAAGAAAGAAAGAAAGAAAGAAAGAAAGAAAGAAAGAAAGAAAGAAAGAAAGAAAGAAAGAAAGAAAGGAAGGAAGGAAGGAAGGAAGGAAGGAAGGAAGGAAGAGAGAAGGAAAGAAGAGAGAAAGAGAGAAAAAGAGAAAGAGAGAAAGAGAGAAAGAGAGAAAGAGAGAAAGAGAGAAAGAGAGAAAGAGAGAAAGAGAGAAAGAGAGAUAGAGAGAAAGUGAGAAAGAGAGAAAGAGAGAAAGAGAGAAAGAAAGAAAGAAAGAAAGAAAGUCUGAAAGUAAGAACGAAAGAACGACAGAAAGA